AAUCGAAAUUCUGCUCCAGGAAGACCAUGUUCCGAUUUUCCACCACACUGUACUCAAAUCGAUUUACAAGAUAAAGAGGGGGAAAAAUGCUCCGUGAACUAUUUACAAGCCUGUAUUAAAAAAUAAAAAAUAUCUGACAUGAAUCCAGCCACGUUCUAAAUUAUACAAAAUUACAAAUUCCGUAUUUCGCUCGUCGCCAACGAUCGAUCAUGCUUGCGUAAGUAUGCUCAGGGCCACCAGCGCGGCGGCGGCAGCGGAGAACCAUACGACGCGGCCACGCGGCUCGCCCGCGGCGCGGCGUCCGUUCGACCCCGUCGCAGUCGUGUUCCGGCCGCCGUAGCCCCUUGUUGGCACGUAGCCACCGCCGGCCCCUCGCAUGUAACUGCUCCCACCGCCGCCGCCGGCUCCCGGCACGGCACUGCCUCCCCCGCCAGUGCUUCCUCCAUCGCUGCUGCCUCCGCCUCCUAUCCUUCCACCACGGCCUCCACCUCCGCCUCGGGACGCCCCUCCCUGGAUCCGCGAGGCCACGCAGAGCAGCACCAGCAGCAGUGCGCAGACCAGCCUCGCGUUGCCUCUGAGUCUCAUGGUCAUGGCCUCUCUCUCGUCUAGUCGUAUUCCCUUUCUCUUCCGUUUGGUUUGGUGCGGUGAGGCAUCGUGGCCAUGGACCUUAUGUACAUGGAGGAUAAGGAAGAAGGCAGGAAAGCGUCUGCAGCAGAUUGUAUUGGACCUUGAGGCCAUGGAAGAAGGAGAGGCGGGAAAGCGUCAACGGCCGAUUGGGGUGGGUUCUCUGCUCGCCGUAGACGCACACGUCGAUCAGCGGCUACAGCAGCUCCACCACAGUCAAAGACGUGUUAUUAUAUGUCAUUAUCUACGUGUGCGUGUGGCCAACCGCACAGAUAAUGCAAAAAGCAAGCAUAAUGUACAUGCAUUGCAAUGUGGUGUCUGUGGCGCCCGCGCGGUGGCGACCGGUCCACAAGUUCUGACGGCGCCGUCCGGCUUCAUUAGUGUGAAGCGAACUGUUCAGCCCUGUGGAUAAUACGUUUUUG
RNAcentral lists this ribosomal RNA (1046 nucleotides) under Triticum aestivum (bread wheat). RNAcentral describes it as "partial small subunit ribosomal RNA". Lineage: Eukaryota; Viridiplantae; Streptophyta; Magnoliopsida; Poales; Poaceae. The record is from RNAcentral.